CGGGCUUAACCUGGGAAUUGCAUUGAGGACUGUGGAGCUAGAGUGCGGCAGAGGGAGGUGGAAUUCCACGUGUAGCAGUGAAAUGCGUAGAGAUGUGGAGGAAUACCAAUGGCGAAGGCAGCCUCCUGGCCUAAUACUGACGCUCAUGCACGAAAGCGUGGGGAGCAAACAG
Molecule: ribosomal RNA, 172 nt
Filed under: uncultured bacterium
Lineage: Bacteria
Description: partial 16S ribosomal RNA
Rfam family: Bacterial small subunit ribosomal RNA
Source: RNAcentral